RNAcentral lists this ribosomal RNA (329 nucleotides) under uncultured bacterium. RNAcentral describes it as "bacterial SSU rRNA". It matches the Rfam family "Bacterial small subunit ribosomal RNA", at positions 200 to 507 of the family's 1533-position model. The record is from RNAcentral.
GAAAAAGCAGGGGAUCUUCGGACCUUGCGCUAUUGGAUGAGCCUAUGUCGGAUUAGUUAGUUGGUGGGGUAAAGGCCUACCAAGGCGACGAUCCGUAGCUGGUCUUAGAGGAUGAUCAGCCACAUCGGGACUGAGACACGGCCCGAACUCCUACGGGAGGCAGCAGUGGGGAAUAUUGCACAAUGGGCGCAAGCCUGAUGCUAGCUAUGCCGACGUGUGUGAAGAAGGCCUUAGGGUUGUAAAGCACUUUCAGUAGUGAGGAAAAGUGUUGUUGUUAAUAGCGCAAUGCUGUGACGUUAGCUACAGAAGAAGGACCGGCAAACUCCGUG